RNAcentral lists this long non-coding RNA (177 nucleotides) under Mesocricetus auratus (golden hamster). Its description in RNAcentral is "Pvt1 onco conserved region 2 (ENSMAUG00000006838.1)". It matches the Rfam family "Pvt1 oncogene conserved region 2". The record is from RNAcentral. Lineage: Eukaryota; Metazoa; Chordata; Mammalia; Rodentia; Cricetidae.
GCAGCUAGCUGCCUUGUAGGGCAGGGAGCCAAUUAUUAAGGUGGGGUAAAACGUCAUUAGGAGUCCUGGACUCUCCGUGGGCUGAACCUGUGUGCGGAGCCCCAAGCUUGUCACUGGUAGAGGAGAGCAUCCAGCUAGCUGGAAACAGCCAGGGGUUGGCAGUGAGGACCCUUUAGG